CUCAGGCUCUACUGAUCUUCCCCACCUGGAAUUCUAGCGGCACUGGGAGAUUAUGAAAUUAUGCUUUUUAACUCCAGUCUUCCUCAGACACACAGAAAGUCACAGGGGCGUUCCAACACUGUACAUCAAAGAACAGCAAGAUUUUUAUGACCCAAAAGGGACAAGACGAGUCACAAGAAAUGCGUGAAUCUUCAUGGAGGGCGUGGCAAGAACUAAUCACUGAGCUGAUGUAAGGGGACCACA
Molecule: long non-coding RNA, 243 nt
Organism: Suricata suricatta (meerkat)
Lineage: Eukaryota; Metazoa; Chordata; Mammalia; Carnivora; Herpestidae
Exons: 3
Source: RefSeq, a predicted model, not a curated record